UCCGGUUUGUCACCGGCAGUCCCAUUAGAGUGCCCAACUGAAUGUGGCAACUAAUGGCAAGGGUUGCGCUCGUUGCGGGACUUAACCCAACAUCUCACGACACGAGCUGACGACAGCCAUGCACCACCUGUGCACAGGCCCCGAAGGGCUGCCGUAUUUCUACGACAUUCCUGUGCAUGUCAAGCCUCGGUAAGGUUCUUCGCGUUGCGUCGAAUUGAACCACAUGCUCCGCUGCUUGUGCGGGCCCCCGCCUAUUCCUUUGAGUUUUAACCUUGCGGCCGUAGUCCCCAGGCGGUGAACUUAAUGCGUUAGCUGCGGCACUGAUCGGGUCAAUCCGAACCAACAUCUAGUGAUCAUCGUUUACAGCGUGGACUAC
This 376-nucleotide unclassified non-coding RNA is filed under the name uncultured bacterium. RNAcentral's name for it is "contains 16S-23S intergenic spacer region". The record is from RNAcentral.